RNAcentral lists this transfer RNA (76 nucleotides) under Candidatus Cloacimonadota bacterium. RNAcentral describes it as "tRNA-Thr". It matches the Rfam family "tRNA". Rfam says of the family: Transfer RNA (tRNA) molecules are approximately 80 nucleotides in length. The record is from RNAcentral. RNAcentral also lists the same sequence under 1 other name. Lineage: Bacteria; Pseudomonadati; Candidatus Cloacimonadota.
GCUAAAUUAGCUCAGUUGGUAGAGCAGCUGAUUCGUAAUCAGCAGGUCGGGGGUUCGAAUCCCCCAUUUAGCUCCA